RNAcentral lists this unclassified non-coding RNA (242 nucleotides) under uncultured Venturiales. RNAcentral describes it as "sequence contains 5.8S rRNA gene". Lineage: Eukaryota; Fungi; Ascomycota; Dothideomycetes. The record is from RNAcentral.
GAACGCACAUUGCGCCCCCUGGUAUUCCGGGGGGCACACCUGUUCGAGCGCCAUUUCUACCCUGGAGCCCUGCUCUGUGAUGGGCCCCGUCCUCGCGGACGGGCCCGAAACCCGUGGGCGCCGUCGUCCGGCCCCGAGCGUAGCAAGAGAAAUCCCUCGCUCGGAGAGUCUGGCGGUGGCCGCCCCGACCCAUUUUUACAAGGUUGGCCUCGGAUCAGGUGGGGAUACCCGCUGAACUUAAG